UACGUAGGGGGCAAGCGUUGUCCGGAAUCAUUGGGCGUAAAGAGCGUGUAGGCGGCCCGGUAAGUCCGCUGUGAAAGUCCAGGGCUCAACCCUGGGAUGCCGGUGGAUACUGUCGGGCUCGAGUCCGGAAGAGGAGUGUGGAAUUCCUGGUGUAGCGGUGAAAUGCGCAGAUAUCAGGAGGAACACCAAUGGCGAAGGCAGCACUCUGGGACGUGACUGACGCUGAGACGCGAAAGCGUGGGGAGCAAACAUG
RNAcentral lists this ribosomal RNA (253 nucleotides) under uncultured bacterium. RNAcentral's name for it is "partial 16S ribosomal RNA". It matches the Rfam family "Bacterial small subunit ribosomal RNA", at positions 524 to 776 of the family's 1533-position model. The record is from RNAcentral.